CGUACUGUGAAGCAUCCGUGUUAAGGUCAGGCAACGAGCGAGACCCACGCCCACAGUUGCCAGCGUACUCUCCGGAGUGACGGGUACACUGUGGGGACCGCCGCUGCUAAAGCGGAGGAAGGAAUGGGCAACGGUAGGUCAGUAUGCCCCGAAUAUCCCGGGCUACACGCGAGCUACAAUGGUUGGUACAAUGGGUAUCUACCCCGAAAGGGGACGGGAAUCUCCUAAACCUGUCCUUAGUUCGGAUUGUGGGCUGCAACUCGCCCACAUGAAGCUGGAAUCUGUAGUAAUCGCGUCUCAACAUGGCGCGGUGAAUAUGUCCCUGCUCCUU
This 331-nucleotide ribosomal RNA is filed under the name uncultured Methanolinea sp. RNAcentral's name for it is "bacterial SSU rRNA". It matches the Rfam family "Archaeal small subunit ribosomal RNA", at positions 1010 to 1338 of the family's 1478-position model. The record is from RNAcentral. Lineage: Archaea; Methanobacteriati; Methanobacteriota; Methanomicrobia; Methanomicrobiales; Methanoregulaceae.